Molecule: ribosomal RNA, 571 nt
Filed under: soil fungal sp. DM087
Lineage: Eukaryota; Fungi
Description: eukaryotic LSU rRNA
Rfam family: Eukaryotic large subunit ribosomal RNA
Source: RNAcentral
AGUUGUAAUUUGCAGAGGAUGCUUUUGGCGAGGUGCCUUCCGAGUUCCCUGGAACGGGACGCCAUAGAGGGUGAGAGCCCCGUCUGGUUGGACACCGAGCCUCUGUAAAGCUCCUUCGACGAGUCGAGUAGUUUGGGAAUGCUGCUCUAAAUGGGAGGUAUAUGUCUUCUAAAGCUAAAUAUUGGCCAGAGACCGAUAGCGCACAAGUAGAGUGAUCGAAAGAUGAAAAGCACUUUGAAAAGAGGGUUAAAUAGUACGUGAAAUUGUUGAAAGGGAAGCGCUCAUGACCAGACUUGGGCCCGGUGAAUCAUCCAGCGUUCUCGCUGGUGCACUUUGCCGGGCUCAGGCCACCAUCAGUUUGCUCCGGGGGAUAAAGGCUUUGGGAAUGUGGCUCCUCCGGGAGUGUUAUAGCCCAUUGCACAAUACCCUGGGGCGGACUGAGGUUCGCGCAUUUAUGCAAGGAUGCUGGCGUAAUGGUCAUCAGCUACCCGUCUUGAAACACGGACCAAGGAGUCGUCUUCUUAUGCGAGUGUUCGGGUGUUAAACCCCUACGCGUAAUGAAAGUGAACGU